GCCCGGGUAGCUCAAUCGGUAGAGCGUGUGGCUCUUAGAUAUACCUCAAGGUCGCGGGUUCGAGCCCCGCCUCGGGCU
This 78-nucleotide transfer RNA is filed under the name Blumeria graminis f. sp. tritici. It matches the Rfam family "tRNA". Rfam says of the family: Transfer RNA (tRNA) molecules are approximately 80 nucleotides in length. Their secondary structure includes four short double-helical elements and three loops (D, anti-codon, and T loops). The record is from Rfam by way of RNAcentral. RNAcentral also lists the same sequence under 1 other name. Lineage: Eukaryota; Fungi; Ascomycota; Leotiomycetes; Helotiales; Erysiphaceae.